CAGGUUUACCUGUGUGACUGCGUACCUUUUGUAUAAUGGGUCAGCGACUUAUAUUCUGUAGCAAGGUUAACCGUAUAGGGGAGCCGUAGGGAAACCGAGUCUUAACCGGGCGUUAAGUUGCAGGGUAUAGACCCGAAACCCGGUGAUCUAGCCAUGGGCAGGUUGAAGGUUGGGUAACACUAACUGGAGGACCGAACCGACUAAUGUUGAAAAAUUAGCGGAUGACCUGUGGCUGGGGGUGAAAGGCCAAUCAAACCGGGAGAUAGCUGGUUCUCCCCGAAAGCUAUUUAGGUAGCGCCUCGUGAAUUCAUCUCCGGGGGUAGAGCACUGUUUCGGCUAGGGGGCCAUCCCGGCUUACCAACCCGAUGCAAACUGCGAAUACCGGAGAAUGUUAUCACGGGAGACACACGGCGGGUGCUAACGUCCGUCGUGAAGAGGGAAACAACCCAGACCGCCAGCUAAGGUCCCAAAGUCAUGGUUAAGUGGGAAACGAUGUGGGAAGGCCCAGACAGCCAGGAUGUUGGCUUAGAAGCAGCCAUCAUUUAAAGAAAGCGUAAUAGCUCACUGGUCGAGUCGGCCUGCGCGGAAGAUGUAACGGGGCUAAACCAUGCACCGAAGCUGCGGCAGCGAACGUAUCACCCAAGACAACUUUACGGAGUUGACGAUUGACGGAGCGAAGCGACGUCAAAGCGUUCAUUAAAGUCGAGUUGGCUUAGGGAUACGUUCGUUGGGUAGGGGAGCGUUC
RNAcentral lists this ribosomal RNA (745 nucleotides) under Salmonella enterica subsp. enterica serovar Mbandaka. RNAcentral describes it as "partial 23S ribosomal RNA". It matches the Rfam family "Bacterial large subunit ribosomal RNA", at positions 580 to 1241 of the family's 2925-position model. The record is from RNAcentral. Lineage: Bacteria; Pseudomonadati; Pseudomonadota; Gammaproteobacteria; Enterobacterales; Enterobacteriaceae.